Lynx canadensis (Canada lynx) is the source of this 216-nucleotide long non-coding RNA. RefSeq lists it as uncharacterized. Lineage: Eukaryota; Metazoa; Chordata; Mammalia; Carnivora; Felidae. The transcript is spliced from 3 exons. The record is from RefSeq and is a predicted model, not a curated record.
CUUUAUAGUCCAUAAACUAAGUAGGAGCAGUGGAAUCUCUUUUCCUCAUGUGGCCCGAGAACCUCCUGGACCCCACUCUGUUCCUGGGGAUUCGCCCUUCCCACCAGAGCACCACCAGAGAAGGAAAUAACUGACCCUCCAGCUGACUCCAGCCCCAGCCAACAUCCUCAAGCAAGAACUACUUAUUUCAAUAGGCAGAGUCCACUCUUACAACUG